RNAcentral lists this ribosomal RNA (253 nucleotides) under uncultured bacterium. RNAcentral's name for it is "partial 16S ribosomal RNA". It matches the Rfam family "Bacterial small subunit ribosomal RNA", at positions 524 to 776 of the family's 1533-position model. The record is from RNAcentral.
UACGUAGGCAGCAAGCGUUGUUCGGAGUUACUGGGCGUAAAGGGUGUGUAGGCGGUUGUUUAAGUUUGGUGUGAAAUCUCCCGGCUCAACUGGGAGGGUGCGCCGAAUACUGAGGGACUAGAGUACGGGAGAGGAAAGUGGAAUUCCUGGUGUAGCGGUGAAAUGCGUAGAUAUCAGGAGGAACACCGGUGGUGUAGACGGCUUUCUGGACCGUAACUGACGCUGAGACACGAAAGCGUGGGUAGCAAACAGG